GCCACAUGAUGAUCUUGUGUCUGCAAUAGCUUUCGGGCUGUGAUGACCAUCGAUCUAUCACCCUUUACUGAUGGCU
Small nucleolar RNA from Cynoglossus semilaevis (tongue sole), 76 nucleotides. Its record names the gene SNORD83. It matches the Rfam family "Small nucleolar RNA SNORD83". From Rfam's summary of the family: U83 (SNORD83) and U84 (SNORD84) are members of the C/D class of snoRNA which contain the C (UGAUGA) and D (CUGA) box motifs. The record is from Ensembl. NCBI's taxonomy places the organism in Eukaryota, Metazoa, Chordata, Actinopteri, Pleuronectiformes, Cynoglossidae.